GGAAAGGAGGUGGCAGCGGCUUGGAGGAAACCUACCUAGGGCAUGCACGCCAAGGAUUAUAAAGAGGGCUAGGGGGGGCGCCUCGACAUCCGUGAGCCACAGCGUCAGCCCUCUGUCUCGCUCUCUCUCUGAAAGACUUACGGAAAGGAGCGGGAGGAGGAAGACGGCGCCAACAGGAAGGGACGGGGGAUGGGCUACGCGCGAGAGAAGGCUACUCGGCCAGCGAGGAGGAGUAAGCCCACUCAGUGGCGCUAGGUAAGAAAGAAAAACCACUGGGUUUUUCUAUUUUAAAACAAAAGCCAUAAAACAAAUAAACUCCUAGGUAAACUAUGGCUCCAAAAUAAAAUGAAAAAAACCUGGUCAUAAGGAAAUUAUGACCUAAUUAAAUAAAAUGACAAGAGGAUUUUUGGAGCUAAGAAAUAUUUACAAAACAUAAUUAAUUAAUCUGUUUUGUGAAUAAACACCCCUCUCAAACAUAGUUUUAAAACACCUA
RNAcentral lists this long non-coding RNA (493 nucleotides) under Hordeum vulgare. Its description in RNAcentral is "long non-coding RNA (HVUL_LNC004231)". Lineage: Eukaryota; Viridiplantae; Streptophyta; Magnoliopsida; Poales; Poaceae. The record is from RNAcentral.